AGUUUAAUGGCCAUGGAGCCAAAGUCUUUACAGUCAGUUUCAUACGAAUGGGCUCCAUGGGAUUCCUAUCUGGGGUAUAACACAUUCAAACAAAUCUACCGAACCCCAGGCAGAAAAGCACGAAUGAAGCUUUUCUGCAGGUAAAAAAUAUGUCUUUUAACAUGGGGCCAUAGUCCAAAGGCAGCAGGCGAGCAACCAGGC
This 201-nucleotide long non-coding RNA is filed under the name Pelobates cultripes (western spadefoot toad). Lineage: Eukaryota; Metazoa; Chordata; Amphibia; Anura; Pelobatidae. The record is from RNAcentral.